RNAcentral lists this long non-coding RNA (2607 nucleotides) under Sus scrofa (pig). Its description in RNAcentral is "lncRNA (ENSSSCG00015066667.1)". Lineage: Eukaryota; Metazoa; Chordata; Mammalia; Artiodactyla; Suidae. The record is from RNAcentral.
AGGCUAAGGAGAAAAAGGGACAUUUCCUAUAUCUUAAUAGUUUUGCUAUUUUUAUAUCCCUGUAGGUAAUUCUUCUGUGUUUGUGUUUAUUCUUCUGUGUAACACUCUUCACUUCUGUUCACUAGCAUUCUGACUUGCCCUUUAGUGCAAGCAGGCUAAGCACUUUAUGUGCAUUAUCUCAUUUAACUCCCAACAAAGAUAUGUUAUUUGUGUUUAUUUAAGUUUUGGGGAAAACUCUAGCAACAGAAUACAUGUUUUUAUAUCUCAUGCUGAAGCAACAGUCUUAGACAUCUAUUACAGUAUUAAACCCUUUCGAAAUGGGAAGGCUAAUAUCCAUGAUAAACUCAAUUGUAUAUUUAAAUAAGAAAGCCCGAGUUUCUUCCUGGUAAUCCAACCAAGACAUUAAUUAUUAAGUUUUCAACAUCUUAUAAAGUUAAAAUGAUGUAAUAAAACAUAUUUUCUGAAGGCAUUUCUUAGCCUACAGUUUUUUAACUGUACUUCCAAAGUGAAUUUGUCUAAUUUAUUUUUUUAAGGGCCACACCUGCAGCAUAUGGAGAUUUCCAGGCUCAGAAUCGAAUUGGAACUGUAGUGGCUGUCCUACACCACAGCCACAGCAAAGCCAGAUCUCAGCUGUGUCUACGACCUACAUUACAGCUCACGGCAAUGCUGACUCCUUAACCCACUGAGUGAGACCAGGGAUCGAACCUGGAUCCUCAUGAAUACUAGUCAGAUUAAUUUCCGAUGAGCCACGAUGGGAACUCCCAAAAGAAUAUUUUUAAUAGAUACUUUUUCUUACAUUCAAUAUCUGUUUUUCUGUAUAUAUAAUUCUAACCUACAUAUAUUGUUGAGAGUCAUCAUAAUAAUUAUAUUUGCUUAACUACUGCUAGUUUGGGGGACAUUUUUAUUUAUAUGUUCUCAUUCACUUCUCAUAACACAUUAGUGGGGGCACAGGUCAAGAAUUAGUCUCAUUUAAUAGGUGGGAAAACUAAGACAGUUUAUUAGUAGGCUGUUUAGCUGAACCAGGGCAAAAAUUCUUGGUUUUUAGACAGAUGUUCCUUUCUUUAACUAAAUUCAUGCAUUUAGCAAGCAUUAUUAAGCUGUAGGUAUGUGUCUAAUGCAGCUCUAGGCAGCGGGCAUCCAAGAUGGGUAAGACACUCGUCUCGCCUCUAAGGAGUUCUAUAUGCAGCAUCAUGAAUGCAUUUUAAAGUUCUUUGCUUUUUGCUUCCAAGGCGGAAUACAUGACCUGAAAUUACCAUGGCUAAGGCACUCAGCUCUUCUGAGACAUAGGCAGGAAGAAGAAAAGAAUUUUGAUAGUUCUGAAAUCCAUAAUUACCACCUUCUACAGUUAAAUUUUGUGACAGCCUCUUAGACGCAAGAUCAGCCUAGACAAUGAUGUCCCUUGUGGCUGAAUUUUCUGGUGAUUUCUGCUACAUUAGCGAAUGCUGUAGUGUUUUUCUAAGAAUGUAUUAUUGUAGUGAUGCUUUAAUUUGCUUUUUUCCAGCUUUUCAACUGCUAACUUUCAUUUUAGUUUGGCCAGAAACUGUUUUGAAGUUUGAGCAUUUUGGUUUAAUGCUAAUUCAUCUCAAGUAUUUAGCCAUUUUUUGAAAUAAUCCUGUUGCUGAACUGAAAUACUCUGAUUUACUAGAUACAAAUUCUAGAGCAAGGUGUAAAGUUUGUUUUAAUUAAACUUUCUUUAAAAUGCAUCCUUUUUUUUUUUUUUUGCUAAUUGUAAAGACUUGAAGGGAAGUUAUUGCCUUUGCUGUCUUUUGUAAUUAGCCAUAUUCGUUUUAUUUUAAAGCAUAAAACACGAGUCACUUAAAUGGAUAGAGCUAUUUUACUCCUUGUUGAGGACUUAUAGUUGUCCUAAAGGAAGAAAAGUUCAGAAUGAAUAUUAUUAGUUUUUCAGUUACUGAGUGGAAACAUUUUAUAUCUUGAAAAUUUUCUUUGAAUAUUUUGCAAUUAACAAUAUAUAAAGAGAUAAAAGAAUAGUGUAUAAUAUUGAAAAGUUAAAAUAAGAGUAUUGUUAAGCAGCAAAUAAAUGAAAUAUACCUCUUACUCUUAUAUGAAACUUUUUUAGCUUAAUGUCAAUAAAGUUUAAAUUAGUUCAGACUUUUCUUAUUAGAAUAAAUGUUUCCUUUUAAAAUGCAUGAUAAUCAUAAUCAAGACAAAAUUUGUCCUGUUAUUUAUUUUCAAAAUGAUUGUACAUGUUUAGCAGACUUUUGAUUUAAAUCCCCAGUGAUAUAUUGGAGACAGAUGUUUGGAUGACCUCAUGUUUAAAGUAAUGUUAUAUUUGGACACAAGAUUAAAUUUUCCUUAAAAUCUUUCCUUAUAAGUUAAACUGUGUGGUAGUACACAAAAACUAAUCAAUGAUUUUCAGUGGAUUAAUGCAAUUCCUGUAUUUUAAAUGAAAUUUUGUAUCUUUUAUGGAAUUCCACGUAGUACAAAAGGGCUGAUUAUGAAACAGCUGUUUACAAAUGAAAAUAUUGUUUUUGGCUGGUCAGCUAAAUGGGAAACAGAUUUGAAAAGUUCCAUGAAUUUGAAUGUAAAUUUACCAUAUCAUUUAUACGGAACCAAAGAACAUUGGUAAAAGACUGCAACAUAGUUUAC